CCCGCUGAACUUAAGCAUAUCAAUAAGCGGAGGAAAAGAAACUAACAAGGAUUCCCCUAGUAACUGCGAGUGAAGCGGGAAAAGCUCAAAUUUAGAAAUCUGGCGGUCUCGCGGCCGGCCGAGUUGUGAUCUGGAGAAGCGUCUAUCCGCGUCGGACCGUGUACAAGUCUUCUGGAAGGGAGCGUCGUAGAGGGUGAGAAUCCCGUCUUUGACACGGACAACCGAUGCUUUUGUGAUGCGCUCUCGAAGAGUCGAGUUGUUUGGGAAUGCAGCUCAAAAUGGGUGGUAAAUUCCAUCUAAAGCUAAAUACUGGCGAGAGACCGAUAGCGAACAAGUACCGUGAGGGAAAGAUGAAAAGCACUUUGGAAAGAGAGUUAAACAGUACGUGAAAUUGUUGAAAGGGAAACGUUUGAAGUCAGUCGCGUCGGCCGAGACUCAACCUUGCGCUCGCGCUCGGUGCACUUCUCGGUUGACGGGUCAGCAUCAAUUUCGACCGCCGGACAAAGGUUGGGGGAAUGUGGCAUCCUUCGGGAUGUGUUAUAGCCCUUGAUUCACAUACGGCGAUUGGGAUUGAGGAACUCGGCGCCUCGCGCGUCCAGGAUGCUGGCAUAAUGGCUUUAAGCGACCCGUCUUGAAACACGG
This 642-nucleotide ribosomal RNA is filed under the name uncultured fungus. RNAcentral's name for it is "eukaryotic LSU rRNA". It matches the Rfam family "Eukaryotic large subunit ribosomal RNA", at positions 24 to 664 of the family's 3401-position model. The record is from RNAcentral. Lineage: Eukaryota; Fungi.